This 524-nucleotide ribosomal RNA is filed under the name uncultured bacterium. RNAcentral's name for it is "partial 16S ribosomal RNA". It matches the Rfam family "Bacterial small subunit ribosomal RNA", at positions 28 to 523 of the family's 1533-position model. The record is from RNAcentral.
GACGAACGCUGGCGGCGUGCCUAAUACAUACAAGUCGAACGAAGCUUUUUUAACUGGUGCUUGCACCGACUUAAACAACUGAGUGGCGAACGGGUGAGUAACACGUGGGUAACCUGCCCCAAAGCGGAGGAUAAUAUUUGGAAACAGAUGCUAAUACCGCAUAAUCACAGACACCACAUGGUUUCUGUGUCAAAGAUGGUUUCGGCUAUCACUUUGGGAUGGACCCGCGGCGUAUUAGCUAGUUGGUAAGGUAAUGGCUUACCAAGGCAAUGAUACGUAGCCGAACUGAGAGGUUGAUCGGCCACAUUGGGACUGAGACACGGCCCAAACUCCUACGGGAGGCAGCAGUAGGGAAUCUUCCACAAUGGACGAAAGUCUGAUGGAGCAACGCCGCGUGAGUGAAGAAGGUUUUCGGAUCGUAAAACUCUGUUGUCAGAGAAGAACGUGUGCGAGAGUAACUGUUCGUGCAGUGACGGUAUCUGGCCAGAAAGCCACGGCUAACUACGUGCCAGCAGCCGCGGUAA